This 292-nucleotide ribosomal RNA is filed under the name uncultured bacterium. RNAcentral's name for it is "partial 16S ribosomal RNA". RNAcentral also lists the same sequence under 2 other names. The record is from RNAcentral.
GGACUACUAGGGUAUCUAAUCCCGUUCGCUCCCCUGGCUUUCGCGCCUCAGCGUCAGCAGGGGUCCAGCGGACCGCUUUCGCCACCGGCGUUCCUUCCGAUAUCAACGCAUUUCACCGCUCCACCGGAAGUUCCGUCCGCCCCUACCCCCCUCGAGUCCGCCAGUAUCCCGGGCCCUUUUCCGGUUGGGCCGAAAGAUUUCACCCGAGACUGGGCGGACCGCCUACGCGCCCUUUAAGCCCAGUGAUUCCGAACAACGUUCGCACGGUUCGUCUUACCGCGGCUGCUGGCAC